This 254-nucleotide ribosomal RNA is filed under the name uncultured bacterium. Its description in RNAcentral is "partial 16S ribosomal RNA". It matches the Rfam family "Bacterial small subunit ribosomal RNA", at positions 524 to 776 of the family's 1533-position model. The record is from RNAcentral.
UACGAAGGGGGCUAGCGUUGCUCGGAAUCACUGGGCGUAAAGCGCACGUAGGCGGAUCUUUAAGUCAGGGGUGAAAUCCUGGAGCUCAACUCCAGAACUGCCUUUGAUACUGGGGGAUCUCGAGUCCGGAAGAGGUGAGUGGAACUCCGAGUGUAGAGGUGAAAUUCGUAGAUAUUCGGAAGAACACCAGUGGCGAAGGCGGCUCACUGGUCCGGUACUGACGCUGAGGUGCGAAAGCGUGGGGAGCAAACAGG